UUAAGCGACUAAGCGUACACGGUGGAUGCCCUGGCAGUCAGAGGCGAUGAAGGACGUGCUAAUCUGCGAAAAGCGUCGGUAAGGUGAUAUGAACCGUUAUAACCGGCGAUGUCCGAAUGGGGAAACCCAGUGCAAUUCGUUGCACUAUCGUUAACUGAAUACAUAGGUUAACGAGGCGAACCGGGGGAACUGAAACAUCUAAGUACCCCGAGGAAAAGAAAUCAACCGAGAUUCCCCCAGUAGCGGCGAGCGAACGGGGAGCAGCCCAGAGUCUGAAUCAGCUUGUGUGUUAGUGGAACGGUCUGGAAAGUCCGACGGUACAGGGUGAUAGUCCCGUACACCAAAAUGCACAGGCUGUGAACUCGAAGAGUAGGGCGGGACACGUGGUAUCCUGUCUGAAUAUGGGGGGACCAUCCUCCAAGGCUAAAUACUCCUGACUGACCGAUAGUGAACCAGUACCGUGAGGGAAAGGCGAAAAGAACCCCGGCGAGGGGAGUGAAAAAGAACCUGAAACCGUGUACGUACAAGCAGUGGGAGCACCUUCGGGUGUGACUGCGUACCUUUUGUAUAAUGGGUCAGCGACUUAUAUUCUGUAGCAAGGUUAACCGUAUAGGGGAGCCGCAGGGAAACCGAGUCUUAACUGGGCGUUAAGUUGCAGGGUAUAGACCCGAAACCCGGUGAUCUAGCCAUGGGCAGGUUGAAGGUUGGGUAACACUAACUGGAGGACCGAACCGACUAAUGUUGAAAAAUUAGCGGAUGACUUGUGGCUGGGGGUGAAAGGCCAAUCAAACCGGGAGAUAGCUGGUUCUCCCCGAAAGCUAUUUAGGUAGCGCCUCGUGAACUCAUCUUCGGGGGUAGAGCACUGUUUCGGCUAGGGGGUCAUCCCGACUUACCAACCCGAUGCAAACUACGAAUACCGAAGAAUGUUAUCACGGGAGACACACGGCGGGUGCUAACGUCCGUCGUGAAGAGGGAAACAACCCAGACCGCCAGCUAAGGUCCCAAAGUCAUGGUUAAGUGGGAAACGAUGUGGGAAGGCACAGACAGCCAGGAUGUUGGCUUAGAAGCAGCCAUCAUUUAAAGAAAGCGUAAUAGCUCACUGGUCGAGUCGGCCUGCGCGGAAGAUGUAACGGGGCUAAACCAUGCACCGAAGCUGCGGCAGCGACACUAUGUGUUGUUGGGUAGGGGAGCGUUCUGUAAGCCUGCGAAGGUGUGCUGUGAGGCAUGCUGGAGGUAUCAGAAGUGCGAAUGCUGACAUAAGUAACGAUAAAGCGGGUGAAAAGCCCGCUCGCCGGAAGACCAAGGGUUCCUGUCCAACGUUAAUCGGGGCAGGGUGAGUCGACCCCUAAGGCGAGGCCGAAAGGCGUAGUCGAUGGGAAACAGGUUAAUAUUCCUGUACUUGGUGUUACUGCGAAGGGGGGACGGAGAAGGCUAUGUUAGCCGGGCGACGGUUGUCCCGGUUUAAGCAUGUAGGCUGGUUGUCCAGGCAAAUCCGGAUAAUCAAGGCUGAGGUGUGAUGACGAGGCACUACGGUGCUGAAGUAACAAAUGCCCUGCUUCCAGGAAAAGCCUCUAAGCAUCAGGUAACAUCAAAUCGUACCCCAAACCGACACAGGUGGUCAGGUAGAGAAUACCAAGGCGCUUGAGAGAACUCGGGUGAAGGAACUAGGCAAAAUGGUGCCGUAACUUCGGGAGAAGGCACGCUGGUGUGUAGGUGAAGUCCCUGCGGAUGGAGCUGAGACCAGUCGAAGAUACCAGCUGGCUGCAACUGUUUAUUAAAAACACAGCACUGUGCAAACACGAAAGUGGACGUAUACGGUGUGACGCCUGCCCGGUGCCGGAAGGUUAAUUGAUGGGGUUAUCCGUAAGGAGAAGCUCUUGAUCGAAGCCCCGGUAAACGGCGGCCGUAACUAUAACGGUCCUAAGGUAGCGAAAUUCCUUGUCGGGUAAGUUCCGACCUGCACGAAUGGCGUAAUGAUGGCCAGGCUGUCUCCACCCGAGACUCAGUGAAAUUGAACUCGCUGUGAAGAUGCAGUGUACCCGCGGCAAGACGGAAAGACCCCGUGAACCUUUACUAUAGCUUGACACUGAACAUUGAGCCUUGAUGUGUAGGAUAGGUGGGAGGCUUUGAAGCGUGGACGCCAGUCUGCGUGGAGCCAACCUUGAAAUACCACCCUUUAAUGUUUGAUGUUCUAACGUUGGCCCCUGACCGGGGUUGCGGACAGUGUCUGGUGGGUAGUUUGACUGGGGCGGUCUCCUCCCAAAGCGUAACGGAGGAGCACGAAGGUUAGCUAAUCCUGGUCGGACAUCAGGAGGUUAGUGCAAUGGCAUAAGCUAGCUUGACUGCGAGCGUGACGGCGCGAGCAGGUGCGAAAGCAGGUCAUAGUGAUCCGGUGGUUCUGAAUGGAAGGGCCAUCGCUCAACGGAUAAAAGGUACUCCGGGGAUAACAGGCUGAUACCGCCCAAGAGUUCAUAUCGACGGCGGUGUUUGGCACCUCGAUGUCGGCUCAUCACAUCCUGGGGCUGAAGUAGGUCCCAAGGGUAUGGCUGUUCGCCAUUUAAAGUGGUACGCGAGCUGGGUUUAGAACGUCGUGAGACAGUUCGGUCCCUAUCUGCCGUGGGCGCUGGAGAAUUGAGGGGGGCUGCUCCUAGUACGAGAGGACCGGAGUGGACGCAUCACUGGUGUUCGGGUUGUCAUGCCAAUGGCACUGCCCGGUAGCUAAAUGCGGAAGAGAUAAGUGCUGAAAGCAUCUAAGCACGAAACUUGCCCCGAGAUGAGUUCUCCCUGAGACUUUAAGUCUCCUGAAGGAACGUUGAAGACGACGACGUUGAUAGGCCGGGUGUGUAAGCGCAGCGAUGCGUUGAGCUAACCGGUACUAAUGAACCGUGAGGCUUAACCUU
This 2900-nucleotide ribosomal RNA is filed under the name Klebsiella pneumoniae. RNAcentral describes it as "bacterial LSU rRNA". It matches the Rfam family "Bacterial large subunit ribosomal RNA". The record is from RNAcentral. RNAcentral also lists the same sequence under 2 other names. Lineage: Bacteria; Pseudomonadati; Pseudomonadota; Gammaproteobacteria; Enterobacterales; Enterobacteriaceae.